This 619-nucleotide ribosomal RNA is filed under the name uncultured cyanobacterium. RNAcentral describes it as "bacterial SSU rRNA". It matches the Rfam family "Bacterial small subunit ribosomal RNA", at positions 8 to 672 of the family's 1533-position model. Lineage: Bacteria; Bacillati; Cyanobacteriota. The record is from RNAcentral.
AGAGUUUGGAUCCUGGCUCAGGAUGAACGCUGGCGGUAUGCUUAACACAUGCAAGUCGAACGGGGUCAGAAAUGAUUCAGUGGCGGACGGGUGAGUAACGCGUGAGAAUCUGGCUUCAGGUUCGGGACAACCACUGGAAACGGUGGCUAAUACCGGAUAUGCCGAGAGGUGAAAGAUAUAUUGCCUGAAGAUGAGCUCGCGUCUGAUUAGCUAGUUGGUAGGGUAAUGGCCUACCAAGGCGGCGAUCGGUAACUGGUCUGAGAGGAUGACCAGUCACACUGGGACUGAGACACGGCCCAGACUCCUACGGGAGGCAGCAGUGGGGAAUUUUCCGCAAUGGGCGAAAGCCUGACGGAGCAAUACCGCGUGGGGGAUGAAGGCUCUUGGGUUGUAAACCCCUUUUCUCAGGAAGAAAAAAAUGACGGUACCUGAGGAAUAAGCAUCGGCUAACUCCGUGCCAGCAGCCGCGGUAAUACGGAGGAUGCAAGCGUUAUCCGGAAUGAUUGGGCGUAAAGCGUCUGUAGGUGGUUUAGCAAGUCUGCCGUUAAAGGUCGGGGCUCAACUCCGAAAAGGCGGGGAAACUGCUAGACUAGAGUGUGGAGGGUAAGGGGAAUUCCCG